This 813-nucleotide ribosomal RNA is filed under the name uncultured Streptococcus sp. RNAcentral's name for it is "bacterial SSU rRNA". It matches the Rfam family "Bacterial small subunit ribosomal RNA", at positions 56 to 850 of the family's 1533-position model. The record is from RNAcentral. Lineage: Bacteria; Bacillati; Bacillota; Bacilli; Lactobacillales; Streptococcaceae.
UGCAAGUAGAACGCUGAAGAGAGGAGCUUGCUCUUCUUGGAUGAGUUGCGAACGGGUGAGUAACGCGUAGGUAACCUGCCUUGUAGCGGGGGAUAACUAUUGGAAACGAUAGCUAAUACCGCAUAACAAUGGAUGACACAUGUCAUUUAUUUGAAAGGGGCAAUUGCUCCACUACAAGAUGGACCUGCGUUGUAUUAGCUAGUAGGUGAGGUAACGGCUCACCUAGGCGACGAUACAUAGCCGACCUGAGAGGGUGAUCGGCCACACUGGGACUGAGACACGGCCCAGACUCCUACGGGAGGCAGCAGUAGGGAAUCUUCGGCAAUGGGGGCAACCCUGACCGAGCAACGCCGCGUGAGUGAAGAAGGUUUUCGGAUCGUAAAGCUCUGUUGUAAGUCAAGAACGAGUGUGAGAGUGGAAAGUUCACACUGUGACGGUAGCUUACCAGAAAGGGACGGCUAACUACGUGCCAGCAGCCGCGGUAAUACGUAGGUCCCGAGCGUUGUCCGGAUUUAUUGGGCGUAAAGCGAGCGCAGGCGGUUUGAUAAGUCUGAAGUUAAAGGCUGUGGCUCAACCAUAGUUCGCUUUGGAAACUGUCAAACUUGAGUGCAGAAGGGGAGAGUGGAAUUCCAUGUGUAGCCGGUGAAAUGCGUAGAUAUAUGGAGGAACACCGGUGGCGAAAGCGGCUCUCUGGUCUGUAACUGACGCUGAGGCUCGAAAGCGUGGGGAGCGAACAGGAUUAGAUACCCUGGUAGUCCACGCCGUAAACGAUGAGUGCUAGGUGUUGGAUCCUUUCCGGGAUUCAGUGCCGCA